This 484-nucleotide ribosomal RNA is filed under the name uncultured Escherichia sp. RNAcentral describes it as "bacterial SSU rRNA". It matches the Rfam family "Bacterial small subunit ribosomal RNA", at positions 1 to 1016 of the family's 1533-position model. Lineage: Bacteria; Pseudomonadati; Pseudomonadota; Gammaproteobacteria; Enterobacterales; Enterobacteriaceae. The record is from RNAcentral.
UACCAUUUUAUUGGAAUUUACUGGGCGUAAAACGCACGCAGGCGGUUUGUUAAGUCAGAUGUGAAAUCCCCGGGUUUAAACUGGGAACUGCAUCUGAUACUGGCAAGCUUGAGUCUCCCCUUAGGGGGGUAGAAUUCCAGGUGUAGCGGUGAAAUGCGUAGAGAUCUGGAGGAAUACCGGUGGCGAAGGCGGCCCCCUGGACGAAGACUGACGCUCAGGUGCGAAAGCGUGGGGAGCAAACAGGAUUAGAUACCCUGGUAGUCCACGCCGUAAACGAUGUCGACUUGGAGGUUGUGCCCUUGAGGCGUGGCUUUCGGAGCUAACGCGUUAAGUCCACCGCCUGGGGAGUACGGCCGCAAGGUUAAAACUCAAAUGAAUUGACGGGGGCCCGCACAACCGGUGGAGCAUGUGGUUUAAUUCCAUGCAACGCGAAGAACCUUACCUGGUCUUGACAUCCACGGAAGUUUUCAGAGAUGAAAAUGUG